CGAUGGCCUGGGCUGCUACGGCCCCCGGACCGCGCCCGGGCGGUGAUGCGGGACGGCUCGACCGGACCGUUCGGCGUGGCCGCCGUCGUC
This 90-nucleotide transfer RNA is filed under the name Mycobacterium avium subsp. hominissuis. RNAcentral's name for it is "tRNA-Ala". Lineage: Bacteria; Bacillati; Actinomycetota; Actinomycetes; Mycobacteriales; Mycobacteriaceae. The record is from RNAcentral.